This 658-nucleotide ribosomal RNA is filed under the name Salmonella enterica. RNAcentral describes it as "bacterial SSU rRNA". It matches the Rfam family "Bacterial small subunit ribosomal RNA", at positions 1 to 653 of the family's 1533-position model. Lineage: Bacteria; Pseudomonadati; Pseudomonadota; Gammaproteobacteria; Enterobacterales; Enterobacteriaceae. The record is from RNAcentral.
GAAGAGUUUGAUCAUGGCUCAGAUUGAACGCUGGCGGCAGGCCUAACACAUGCAAGUCGAACGGUAACAGGAAGCAGCUUGCUGCUUUGCUGACGAGUGGCGGACGGGUGAGUAAUGUCUGGGAAACUGCCUGAUGGAGGGGGAUAACUACUGGAAACGGUGGCUAAUACCGCAUAACGUCGCAAGACCAAAGAGGGGGACCUUCGGGCCUCUUGCCAUCAGAUGUGCCCAGAUGGGAUUAGCUUGUUGGUGAGGUAACGGCUCACCAAGGCGACGAUCCCUAGCUGGUCUGAGAGGAUGACCAGCCACACUGGAACUGAGACACGGUCCAGACUCCUACGGGAGGCAGCAGUGGGGAAUAUUGCACAAUGGGCGCAAGCCUGAUGCAGCCAUGCCGCGUGUAUGAAGAAGGCCUUCGGGUUGUAAAGUACUUUCAGCGGGGAGGAAGGUGUUGUGGUUAAUAACCGCAGCAAUUGACGUUACCCGCAGAAGAAGCACCGGCUAACUCCGUGCCAGCAGCCGCGGUAAUACGGAGGGUGCAAGCGUUAAUCGGAAUUACUGGGCGUAAAGCGCACGCAGGCGGUCUGUCAAGUCGGAUGUGAAAUCCCCGGGCUCAACCUGGGAACUGCAUUCGAAACUGGCAGGCUUGAGUCUUGUA